Molecule: long non-coding RNA, 807 nt
Organism: Zea mays
Lineage: Eukaryota; Viridiplantae; Streptophyta; Magnoliopsida; Poales; Poaceae
Exons: 2
Source: RefSeq, a predicted model, not a curated record
GACACUCUUAAUUUAAGAGUGUCGAGGUCCCGCAGAAACCGACACUCUUAUGUAAUUUACCCUAAUCCCCAAUCCUCUUCUACCGUCGCGCGUCUCCUACCCACUCUGCUUGCCAGUCCGCCCGCCGUCUGCUCGUUUUGACCUCCGCUGCGCGCGCUCCCUGUCCGGCGGUGCAGAAUCACCCAGCGGCGCGCGCUCCCUGUCCGGUCAUGGUGGGGGCCGGCGGCGUAGGGCUUCGGGCAGCCAUCGGCCUCGCCAAGUCGGGCGGCGAGCGGCCUCGCCAAGCUGGACACCGGGCGGCCAUCGCUGAGCCGGGCGGCCUCGCCGAGCCAGGCGACCUCGCCGAGCCGGGCGGCCUCGCCGAGCUCUAAGCUCCGGGCCGCGCAGUGCCUCGCCGAGCCAGGCGGCCUCACCAAGCCGGACGCCAGGCGGCCAUCAUUGAGCCGGGCGGCCUCGCCGAACUCCAAGCUCCGAGCGGCGCAGUGCAUCACCCAGAUCUUCCCCACUCGCUCGCACACCGUUGCGGCACAGGGUUCUGGCUCACAUCAUGCUAGUCCGCCUCCGGAUCAGAGCACGUUUAUGGACUUAUUGAUGAACACAAGUGGCGGCGGCUCCAAUGACCCACCAACGGAAUGAAUUAAUAUGGAGGCUUGUGUGGAACUUACUAUCAUUGCGUUUUGUAUGAACUUGAACUUGUUUCAAAUGGAUUUGAACUUCUUUCUUAUGGAUUUGAACUUGUAUAAAUAUUGAAUAUGGUGCUUGUGUUAUGAUAUAUUGAAUAUGGUGCUUGUGUUGUGAUAUAUUGAA